This 164-nucleotide ribosomal RNA is filed under the name uncultured bacterium. RNAcentral describes it as "partial 16S rRNA". It matches the Rfam family "Bacterial small subunit ribosomal RNA", at positions 354 to 510 of the family's 1533-position model. The record is from RNAcentral.
GUAGGGAAUCUUCCACAAUGGGCGAAAGCCUGAUGGAGCAACGCCGCGUGUGUGAUGAAGGGUUUCGGCUCGUAAAACACUGUUGUAAGAGAAGAAUGACAUUGAGAGUAACUGUUCAAUGUGUGACGGUAUCUUACCAGAAAGGAACGGCUAAAUACGUGCCA